UUCUUUAUUGAUUUUUAUAUAAGGUAUAACCUGCUCAAUGAUUUUUAAAUAGCCGCGAUUUUAUCGUGCUAAGGUAGCAUAAUAAUUUGUCUUUUAAUUAAGGUCUAGAAUGAAUGGUUGAACGAGAAACUAACUUUUUUAAUUAAAUUUUUAUGAAUUUUAUUUUUUAGUAAAAAAGCUAAAAUUUAUUUAUGUGACGAUAAGACCCUAUAAAAUUUUAUUUUCAUAUUUUUAUUUAUUAACUGGUUAAUAUAAUUUUUUAACUAUCUUGGAAAUUUGGUUGGGGCGAUUAUUUUAUUUUUUUAACUUUAAUUUUUACAAUUCAUUAAUUUGUGAAUUAUUGAUCCUAAAUUUUAGAUUAAAAGAAUAAAUUACUUUAGGGAUAACAGCGUAAUUUUCUUGGAGAGUUCUUAUUAAUAAGAAAGAUUGCGA
Molecule: ribosomal RNA, 432 nt
Filed under: Tingidae gen. 1 sp. n RS-2018
Lineage: Eukaryota; Metazoa; Arthropoda; Insecta; Hemiptera; Tingidae
Description: partial large subunit ribosomal RNA
Source: RNAcentral